RNAcentral lists this ribosomal RNA (253 nucleotides) under uncultured bacterium. Its description in RNAcentral is "partial 16S ribosomal RNA". It matches the Rfam family "Bacterial small subunit ribosomal RNA", at positions 524 to 776 of the family's 1533-position model. The record is from RNAcentral.
UACGUAGGGACCAAGCGUUGUUCGGAUUUACUGGGCGUAAAGGGCGCGUAGGCGGCCUUCUAAGUCGGACGUGAAAUCCCCAGGCUUAACUUGGGAACUGCGUCCGAUACUGGAGGGCUUGAGUGCGGGAGAGGGAUGUGGAAUUCCAGGUGUAGCGGUGAAAUGCGUAGAUAUCUGGAGGAACACCGGUGGCGAAGGCGGCAUCCUGGACCGACACUGACGCUGAUGCGCGAAAGCCAGGGGAGCAAACGGG